Molecule: ribosomal RNA, 253 nt
Filed under: uncultured bacterium
Lineage: Bacteria
Description: partial 16S ribosomal RNA
Rfam family: Bacterial small subunit ribosomal RNA
Source: RNAcentral
UACGAGGGGUCCUAGCGUUGUUCGGAAUCAUUGGGCGUAAAGGGUGUGUAGGUGGCUAUGUAAGUCAGGGGUGAAAGCCCCGGGCUCAACCCGGGAAGUGCAUCUGAUACUGCGUAGCUUGAGUACCGAAGAGGAUAGUGGAAUUCCAGGUGUAGUGGUGAAAUACGUAGAUAUCUGGAGGAACACCGGUGGCGAAGGCGGCUAUCUGGUCGAGUACUGACACUGAGACACGAAAGCAUGGGGAUCAAACAGG